UGAUAACUGUAUAGUUAUUUUUAAAAAUAUCUCACCUCCCUAAAUUAAAUACUUUGUCUAAAUGUUUUACUACACCUACUUAGCACAAAACCACUUUGAUUGUUUAAAGAAAGAGAUUUACUUCUUAUUAGAGUAUCUUGUACCAGACUUUUUUCAUUAUUCUUUUGGACAGGAGUGUGGAAGAUCAGCUGUCAGUGCUCAGUUCUUCCAAGCAUUCAGCUUGCCCAUUUUCAGGAGUGACAUUCACUUUCUUCCAAUGUGGAACCUUAUUUACCAUCCUGAGAUUUAAUCAAAACUAUCUUCAGUGGUGAAGAUCUAUUAAGGCCAACUUUGGAGAACUCAGCUUUGCGAAACUGUACCAUUUCCAAGCACAUGGUGUACAUACUGUUAGCAAAACCAAUUUGACCUGAAAGCAGUUGGAAAGUAACUGAAAUCACAGCAGAGAACAGCAGUCCAGUUAAUCAGGCAGAUAUGGGAUCCAAAAUGAGGCAACAUUGUGUUGGGAGCUUUUAUGUUAAUUUGUCAUUUUUAAAAUCCCCAGUAACAGUUUUUGGCUGGCUGUAUAGCACUGUCAACAAAUCUUUUAACCCACCCUCUUCUUCUCUGUCUCCACAAGUCUAGAACAGGUAACUGUCUACUUCUGUAUUAGCCUUCCUGGAGAAACAUUGCUUUUGUAGUUAGGUAGUAUGUUCUGUCAGCUUUUAGAAGUGCUAAAACCCAUCAAGGGCAUUUUUUUUUGCUUUCCUUGCAUAUUUCCUAACUAUCUUACACUACUGAAAGUUUAGUUCAUUCUUGUCCGUUACUGGCUCAAUUUUUAUGACUCUCACAGAAUGACGACACUAAAUCCUCACAUUUUUCAGAUCAUAUUAUUAAAUUAAUGUCCUGCAGAUGGCUCCAAUUAAUCACCCAAAAAGCCCACAAAGCCCCACAGCUUCAGGUUACAACUCGUUACAUUUGUAAAACACCCCGCUUCCAAAGAAGUUUACUUCCCUGUACAAAAAGCUUUAACUGCAUUCCGUGGUUUUGAACUAGACAUUCGUCCUUGGUAUUUCUUAUUUCUCUCAUGAGAGAGAAUUAUCUCCGUUAUUAAUUUUUCCACAUCUUGACCUAUAAGCAUUUUCAAACAAACAUUAGUUAAUAGUGUGAAUGAGUUGCCCAAACCUUUACAUGUAGCAUUUAUAUUUGAAAUAUUAAUAUAUAAAAGGCACUAAGGAUCUUCAAGAUUUGAGUUCCCUUUUCUCUAAAUAAUCACUAACUAGGCUAUGUGAGUUUUAAAAAAUAUAUUAGAUCAGAUUGGACAUUAAGUUUGAGAGGAGUGACUCAUCAAAAGUCAAAUGUCAACUAGAUGACAGAAAGGGCUUGUAUAAGUGUUCACUGAAAACUUAGGAGUCUAUCUUUCACUGCUCUCUAAUGGGAGGCUGCAACUUAGCAACUUAAUGAUUAUGCUGCAGAGGCUCAGCCAGAAAGGAGGAUCCCCCCAAAAUAAUUAGUGCCCUAAACUUUUUUCUUGAUAUUACUCUAAGUUUACAAUCACUAACAGAGAUUGAAAGUAGCCAAGUUUAAGUCUUAUCUGCAUUUUUAUCAUCCGUGAAACACAAAGAACAAUUUCAUAAACAUAUAGUUUCAAAACACACUGGUAAAGUCCUAUUACAUGCUUAAUCCAGAAACCAUACAUGGCGCAAGGAUAAAACAUAAAACAAACACCUCUAAAACCCAGUUAUGCAUAUGGAAGUUUUAAAAAUGUUGUGAUGAAACAUAAGGUGCCAGUCCUACAAUAUUAAAGCUCCUAAAGCUGGUAAUUUCAAAUAGAACAAUUCAGGAUUAGCUUCACGUUACAAAAAAACAAAUCUGUCCUUGGUAACAGAAAAACAAACAAGCUUUUGUAAUACAAUCCACCCCAUGAGACUUAGCUUUAGCUUCUACGUAACGUGGUUCAUCCUCAACACAGAAACCAUCCAGAACUGGUGACAUAUUGUCUGUAAGGUAUAUUAAAUUCAACAGCUACUACAGCAUCGAUCAACCAACCAACUAAUCUGAGAGCUGUCUGCUUAUGCAACUGAUACAAAGGCACUUCGUAAUAGUGGGUUAAAUUUCCUACUGGAAACAUCAAAAAAAAAAAAGAAAGGAGAAACAUUGAUAUGAAUUCAUCUCAAACCCAUUUUACAGACACUUCUCCCCAACACUUGCAGGGAAUGGAUUCCUGUGGAAGUCUCAAAUAGGACAGAAGUAAACUCUAGCAUGCAAAGAGAAAUCCAGAACCACAUGUUCUUAUCUAAA
Molecule: long non-coding RNA, 2277 nt
Organism: Cygnus olor (mute swan)
Lineage: Eukaryota; Metazoa; Chordata; Aves; Anseriformes; Anatidae
Exons: 2
Source: RefSeq, a predicted model, not a curated record